UAAUGAUAAUGAAGACAUUGGAUGAGAAGCAACUUAAAUCUGUCUCAUGCUUCAUGAAAAGGCUCUCCCUCCAUUUGAGAAAAUGUUGCAAUCUUGGUCCUCAAGUC
Small nucleolar RNA from Pistacia vera, 107 nucleotides. NCBI's taxonomy places the organism in Eukaryota, Viridiplantae, Streptophyta, Magnoliopsida, Sapindales, Anacardiaceae. The record is from RefSeq and is a predicted model, not a curated record.